UGCAAGCUCCGCCCCCCGGGUUCCCGCCAUUCUCCCGCCUCAGCCUCCCGAGUAGCUGGGACUACAGGCGCCCGCCAUCACGCCCGGCUGCUUUUUUUGUUUUAGUAGAGAGGAGGUUUCACCGUGUUAGCCAGGAUGGUCUCAAUCUCCUGACCUCGUGAUCCGCCCGCCUCGGCCUCUCAAAGUGCUGGGAUUACACGCGUGAGCCACCGCGCCUGGCCUGAAGAAAGAAGUCAUUAAAGAAGCAACCCAUGGCAAAACUAGUUAUUUUCUUAAAACAGUAGGAAGAAGAAAAGCUUUUUGAAUGAAUCACUUCUCAUCUUCUCCGAAGUUGGAAGCAUCAAGAAUCUAAAUAAGCAUUUAUGAUGGCUGGCAUGAAUAUUUCUCUCCUUCAUCGUGCCUAUUUUAUGAACUUGAACAAGGAAGUUGCCACAACAUCUGUGGGCCAGAGAACUAUGCCAGAAUGUUAUUUCCAGAUUGCUUCCUGUAUUUACAAAGGCGGAAGAUAGAAUGGGAGUCCUAGUUGACCUUCAUAUAAUUUUUAGAAGAUGGAGCACUUCAACUUCUUCCACUCAUGAAAAGAGAGGUGACAGGUGAAGACAGAACAAGAAAACAAACCAAGAAUUUCCCCUCACCAGCCACCAGCUCUGCCAGCAACUUGAUCUUAGACUUCCCAGCCUCCGUAACGCCUCUGCUUAUAAUCUGUCAUGGAUUGGAAAACUAGAAAAAACAGUUUACAGAGUAUAACAAACUUUGGAGGAGUUAAUCGACUCUAAGUAAAAGAGUAUCUAGCACGGCUGUGGAACAAAGGAGAGACUCACAAACUGUUGAAAGAAUAAAUGAAUGAAUGAAUUCUGUUCAUGAGCUUUAAUAAAACAGCUCUGAGUAGUAACAGUGGAUCAAAUUUAGGCUUCUUGAUGCAGGCAUGGUGUAGAUUACUACUUCUGUAUUGUCCCAGGAGCUCAGCACAUUCCUGCAGAGAUGAUAGGAGCUCAUCUGAUACUUGUCAGCUUUGAAUAAACUCCAGUCCCCAAGAGAGAGAAUGAGAAUCACCGGAAUACGAAACUUCCCUGUUGGACUUCCCAACAUUCUUGAAUGCACCAAGAUAGCCUCUUGCUGUGAGAUUAAUAAAUGAAUAAAUGCCUCCAUAUUUUUCAAAUCUGUGAAGUUAACAACAUGUAGAUUUUUUUGCAUAUUUAAAAACUGCAACUAAAUCUUAAUGCCUCUGAAGCAGAUGGAAGAAAAUAAUAGGCUUCCAUUAACUGUGUCAAAUUGUAUAGGUCUUGGCCAUCACUGGUCCUGUUGUGAUGAAGGUUUUUUGCCCUUGGAUAUAAUUUAAUUUUCAAUUCUUCUAAUUAUGGUACUUCAGAACAUCAAUAUUUGAGAUGAACUUCUCUAGUGUCAAGGACUGAUUUGAGUUGUGUAAACCCUGAAUAUCUGAGACAGGUCUCGAUUAUUUUAGAAAGUUUAUUUUGCCAAGGUUGAGGAUGUGUGCCUGUGACACGGCCUCGGGAGGUCCUGAGGACAUGUGCUCAAGGUGGUCAGAGCACAGCUUUGCUUUAUACAUUUUAGAGAGACAUGAGACAUCAACCGACAUAUGUAAGAUGAACAUUGGUUCCAUCUGGAAAGGCGAGACAACUUCAAACGAGGAGGGGGCUUCCAGGUCAUAGGUAGAUAAGAGACAAAUGGCUGCAUUCUUUUGAGUUUCUGAUUAGCCUUUCCAAAGGAGGCAAUUAGAGUGAGCAAAAUGAACAAAAUCAAUUAUUUUGAUUCUGAACAAAAUGGGAGGCUGGUUUUCCCUAAGCAGUUCCCAGCUUGACUUUUCCCUUUAGCUGAGGGAUUUGGGGGGCCCAAGAUUUAUUUUUCUUUCACCGUUGUAUCAAACUACACAGGCGGCCUUGGAAACCAUCACAGUUGAGAGUAGGUAACGCCCAUUUGUUGCAUAGUUUUGUGCUCCACACUCUUAUCUACAAAAUUAUGAAUUUUUUUACAUAUAUUAAUUUCAGAAAAACUAAAAAUAAAACAAAGUAGUUUCAAACUAGUAUUGUUUUUAUAUCUUAAAAAUAAAGCUUUAUAUACUCUCC
Molecule: long non-coding RNA, 2084 nt
Filed under: Homo sapiens (human)
Lineage: Eukaryota; Metazoa; Chordata; Mammalia; Primates; Hominidae
Description: HSALNT0310168
Source: RNAcentral